UACAACUCGAAGAAGACAAAAGUCUUGCACUGACUUGGGCUGUGCAGCUAAGGGAUUCCCUUGUGUUGAUACGGAAACUGCCAGCGGGUGCGAUGCUACAGACGACACCUUGUGUGGAACAAGCUGCACAUGCUGCAUAAUGUGCAACCAAACUACCGAAUGCAAAGGAUAUGGUGGCAGUUGCAGUAAGAUCUCAGCUGGAUGUUCAGGCACUUCCUAUGACGCAGGAUGCGCAGCUUCAACUUGCACUUGCUGCAUUGCUGGUAA
Molecule: long non-coding RNA, 267 nt
Organism: Macrobrachium nipponense
Lineage: Eukaryota; Metazoa; Arthropoda; Malacostraca; Decapoda; Palaemonidae
Exons: 3
Source: RefSeq, a predicted model, not a curated record